Molecule: unclassified non-coding RNA, 316 nt
Filed under: plant metagenome
Description: partial contains 5.8S ribosomal RNA, internal transcribed spacer 2, and large subunit ribosomal RNA
Rfam family: 5.8S ribosomal RNA (bases 1-105)
Source: RNAcentral
AAAUCGUGAUAAUUCAUGUGAAUUGCAGAAUUCCGUGAAUCAUCGAGUCUUUGAACGCACAUUGCGCCCCCUGGUAUUCCGGGGGGCAUGCCUGUCCGAGCGUCAUUGCUGCCCAUCAAGCACGGCUUGUGUGUUGGGUCGUCGUCCCCUCUCCGGGGGGGACGGGCCCCAAAGGCAGCGGCGGCACCGCGUCCGAUCCUCGAGCGUAUGGGGCUUUGUCACCCGCUCUGUAGGCCCGGCCGGCGCUUGCCGAACGCAAAUCAAUCUUUUUCCAGGUUGACCUCGGAUCAGGUAGGGAUACCCGCUGAACUUAAGC